This 460-nucleotide ribosomal RNA is filed under the name uncultured bacterium. Its description in RNAcentral is "bacterial SSU rRNA". It matches the Rfam family "Bacterial small subunit ribosomal RNA", at positions 1 to 496 of the family's 1533-position model. The record is from RNAcentral.
CGAUUAGAGUUUGAUCCUGGCUCAGGAUGAACGCUGGCGGUCUGCUUAACACAUGCAAGUCGAACGGAGUAGAAAUACUUAGUGGCGGACGGGUGAGUAACGCGUGAGAAUCUGCCUUCAGGACGGAGACAACAGUUGGAAACGACUGCUAAGCCCCGAUGAACCGAAAGGGAAAAUAUUUAUAGCCUGAAGAUGAGCUCGCGUCCGAUUAGCUAGUUGGCGGGGUAAAGGCCCACCAAGGCGACGAUCGGUAGCUGGUCUGAGAGGACGAUCAGCCACACUGGGACUGAGACACGGCCCAGACUCCUACGGGAGGCAGCAGUGGGGAAUUUUCCGCAAUGGGCGAAAGCCUGACGGAGCAAGACCGCGUGGGGGAAGAAGGCUCUUGGGUUGUAAACCCCUUUUCUCUGGGAAGAAAGUUGUGAAAGCAACCUGACGGUACCAGAGGAAUCAGCAUCGG